GACGAACCGUGCGAACGUUGUUCGGAUUCACUGGGCUUAAAGCGCACGUAGGCGGCUAUUCAAGUCGGGUGUGAAAGCCCGGGGCUCAACCCCGGAACUGCCCUCGAAACUAGAUAGCUAGAAUCUUGGAGAGGCGAGUGGAAUUCCGAGUGUAGAGGUGAAAUUCGUAGAUAUUCGGAAGAACACCAGUGGCGAAGGCGACUCGCUGGACAAGUAUUGACGCUGAGGUGCGAAAGCGUGGGGAGCAAACAGG
Molecule: ribosomal RNA, 253 nt
Filed under: uncultured bacterium
Lineage: Bacteria
Description: partial 16S ribosomal RNA
Rfam family: Bacterial small subunit ribosomal RNA
Source: RNAcentral